Long non-coding RNA from Panicum virgatum (switchgrass), 623 nucleotides. RefSeq lists it as uncharacterized. The transcript has 2 exons. The record is from RefSeq and is a predicted model, not a curated record. NCBI's taxonomy places the organism in Eukaryota, Viridiplantae, Streptophyta, Magnoliopsida, Poales, Poaceae.
UUUCCAUUCCAUCCCCAUCCGUUUGCCCAAUUUUUGCACUUCUCUUUUUUCAUACCCAUUCCCACGGCCCUCCCCAAUUACCAGGAGUUCCCCUGUCUUGAAUCUCCUCUCUCCUUCAUAAACGAGUUGUUUCUUACUUAUCUCACAGCUAGAUGUUGUUCUCCCUCUCUCUGUCGCACACCCUACAUUUCCAAUUCCCCCUCCUCCGAUUUCCUAUGAUUGGUCUGUCUUCUACUCUUUUUAGUUAGUUUCCCUAAAGAUCUUGUUCUUCCGUUAGCCCUCCCCGCCAAAGACGCCACGCUUCUGAACUUGUUGUGCCACCAACAUGUUCGAUGAAAUGCACACCCCGUAUUGACAAGAUAUUGUGCAUAGAGCACCAGCAGAGUGCUAUCUGUAUUCACUUGUGAGUUGUGGCAUGCUUUUGUCAAGGAUGAAUAUUCAAGCUUGACAAAUAAAUAUUCAGAGAUGAUCUGCUGGGUUUGAUCAAGGGCUCGUUACCUUGGAUAAAAAUUGUACUUCUAUAACUAUAUUAUCAACUUUAUAGAAUCAUGACCGAGACUAUCAUCGAAUGAUGUCCUGAGGUCCUUAUGUUUUGUACAUUCAAUCCUGUGAUAUCUGAUCUA